Non-coding RNA from Arachis ipaensis, 1049 nucleotides. Lineage: Eukaryota; Viridiplantae; Streptophyta; Magnoliopsida; Fabales; Fabaceae. The record is from RefSeq and is a predicted model, not a curated record.
CUUUAAUCUGAAUUUCAAAGACUAGAGAGUCCUGCUAGGGCUUUUGCCUUUCUCUCUUCUUCCCAUCAACGUUGCUCGCUCCUUAUUCCUCCCCUUCCACGGUAGCUCGCUUUCUGAUCCUCUCCCUGCGCCGUGGUCGUUCUCUGAUCCUCUCCAUCCACGGAAUUGCUCGUUCUCCCCUAUAUAGUGCUUGUUCUCUGAUCGUCGACGCCGCAACACGUUGCCGCUGCGCCGCCGCCGCCGCUGCUACACUCGAGUCCACCACUUUAUUAUUUUCUGUCGCCUCUCUGUUCCUCUUCUUCACCAGCGACUCUGAUCUCUGUCCUUCUCCCUCCACCUCUGCCUCUGCGACCUACUCCUUUAAGUUAGACUGGCUAAGCUAGCUGUUGACAAGGUCAUGACUGCACCAUGCGAGACAUCAAUUUUAUAUCCAAAGCAUGGUGGAAAUCUGCACUGUUUCACAGCAAUAACACCUUGUGCUGUGCUAGACAUUCUUUCACCUCCUUAUAGAGAAGAUGAAGGAAGGAAGUGUACUUACUAUCAUGAUUAUCCAUAUUCAACAUUCUAUUUUCCAGGAGCAUCAAAAAAUAGAUAAUUGCUAUAGUUGAGGAUCUACUUUCUUUCUGGAUUCAACCAUUAAAAUGUGCAUUAGGCAGUCUGUAGCAGUUGCAACUUGGUAAGCAUGUUAUGAUCAUUUUUCUUUAUGUGAGGUCCAAGCAAACACUUUUUGUAGAGUCCCUCUACAUCACAAUUAGUGUAUUAACCUGAACGAAUGAAUGAUCGGAUGGUUAAAUUCUUUUCUGGUUUACCUGGAGUUCUUCACUCAUAGUCCUUCAACUUUGAGGUGUGAUUGCAAUUCGAGCUCUCUAGCCAAAAAGUUCAUAAGCAACGGCUGUCUAUUGUAUCAUUGAUUUCACCAAUUACUUUAUGCGUUUAUGUUCUUGUACAAGAAUUCUGUAUAUAUGCUUAGUAGUGCUUGUAAGUUUUGACUUUUGAGAUUUGUUUGUAGCUUUGAUUUGGAAAAUAGUAAAAAUUUUUACCUUGCCAUA